This 121-nucleotide small nucleolar RNA is filed under the name Echinops telfairi (small Madagascar hedgehog). Its description in RNAcentral is "Small nucleolar RNA SNORA61 (ENSETEG00000025110.1)". The record is from RNAcentral. Lineage: Eukaryota; Metazoa; Chordata; Mammalia; Afrosoricida; Tenrecidae.
AACCUUCAAAUUCCUUACCCCUCAGAUUUAAUAAUGGUCUGAGUGGCUGAAAAAAGGAGGAAAAAUCAAAUUGAAGUGGGCCUGGAGACUUUAAUGAGAUCCAAGUUCAUUUAAAAUAAAA